RNAcentral lists this ribosomal RNA (330 nucleotides) under uncultured eukaryote. RNAcentral's name for it is "partial 18S ribosomal RNA". It matches the Rfam family "Eukaryotic small subunit ribosomal RNA", at positions 1470 to 1796 of the family's 1831-position model. The record is from RNAcentral.
CCCUUAGAUGUCCGGGGCUGCACGCGCGCUACACUGUAGAAAACAGCGUGCUUUAAAACCUUUCCUGAAAAGGAUGGGUAACCCCAGCAAAAUUCUACGUGCUUGGGAUAGAGAUUUGCAAUUUUCUCUCUUGAACGAGGAAUUCCCAGUAAGUGCGAGUCAUCAGCUCGCGUUGAUUACGUCCCUGCCCUUUGUACACACCGCCCGUCGCUACUACCGAUUGGGAAAAUUUUAGAGAGUCCUGGACUGAUGAUUGUUCGGCUUCACGGCCUUACUUUCGUCGGGAAAGAAUUCGAUAAUAUUUUUCUAGAGGAAGUAAAAGUCGUAACA